AGAAAACUUUCUGAAACUGAGCAGAAAACUGGUGGUCAAACCACUGAAGAUUGUGGAAAGGUUGUCAAGAAUUACUAUCCACAAAGCCAUUACGACCAAAUGAGGCUACAGGUUGAAUAGUACACCUGAAUUUCUGGAUCCCUGCUGGUUCUUGGCCACGACCACCUCUGC
RNAcentral lists this long non-coding RNA (171 nucleotides) under Chinchilla lanigera (long-tailed chinchilla). Its description in RNAcentral is "lncRNA (ENSCLAG00000027446.1)". Lineage: Eukaryota; Metazoa; Chordata; Mammalia; Rodentia; Chinchillidae. The record is from RNAcentral.